GGGGGCGACAGGCAUCGAUCUAGCCUUUGAUCUGAGUGUGGCAUGUGGAGGUUGUCGGGAGGCCCUCCUUAAACACCUGGCAAAAACAUAAACGCUAAAAACACGAACCUAGUGCAUGUGCCCUUCGCAGGGUUCAUGGCGUUACCGCUAGCCGCCUAAUAACGGCUGCCGUCUGCUCAUCCUCGUCUGCGGGAUGAGGCCAGGCGUCGACAGCAGGCUGGUUAAUCCCGCGUGCCUUUGGCGUGGUUAACGAGACGCGCAGAGGGCUCAACUCUUGGGAUUGUGUCCGCUCAAAGCCCGAAGAGGAAAUGAAAAACGGACUAAGCAUGUAGAAACUUCAGACCUCAAUUGUUAGAGACGCGAGUUCGAAU
This 371-nucleotide transfer-messenger RNA is filed under the name Candidatus Omnitrophica bacterium CG1_02_46_14. RNAcentral describes it as "partial transfer-messenger RNA". It matches the Rfam family "transfer-messenger RNA". Rfam says of the family: Bacterial tmRNA, also known as 10Sa RNA or SsrA, is named for its dual tRNA and mRNA-like properties. The record is from RNAcentral. Lineage: Bacteria; Pseudomonadati; Candidatus Omnitrophota.